CUCAAGUUCUUUCCUUAAAAGAUGGGAGAAGUGUGUACAUGCCUAAGGUGUGAGAUGUAAUCGGUAGCGGGGGAAAGAGAAGACCGCGUAGGAAGAAGAAAGGAUUAUUGCAAAUAUGAAGCCCUGGAGGAGAUAAGAGAACAUGGUUCCCAAGAGUAGGAAUAAGGGUCUUCAGAGACGUGAAGGCCAGGAGGAAGAUCCUUCUGAGACUAUUAAGUAAGCUGGGUAUUACUGAAAUUUCUGAAGAUGGAAGAACAAACAGGAGUAACACUCACUGUCUCCAGCCCCGUUGAGUGCACAGUCUAAUGAGGAAGACUCUGAUGAUGUAAAAGUUAAUACAGCAAUUAUAGGAAAGGAUAUCCCUGCAGGAAGGAGGAAGUGGGGCCCUGCCCAUGUCCGACCACUGCAUUGUCCUGGCCUUCGUGGGGACUCAGGAAGAGGGUACGGAAGUUUCAACAGGAAAACAGAAAAGUUCAAACGUAAACAGCAUCCAAAAAAAUUUUACCAAUAGCACACUAGAUUUCCUCUCUGGUCCUUCCCGUGCUUCAAUGCAUCUCUGGGCUGGCAGAUUUUAAUCUUGGCUUCUGUUCACCUUGGUAACCUCCAGCAGGGCAGUUGCUCUGUUUCCCUCCUUAGUAAGUCAAGAGGAUAUGUUUUCCAUGGCAAUGGAGACAAAAAACAACUGCUUUCCAGAGACUGUAUCCUGCCUGGCCUGGCUGGAGUCUGUUCUCUUUUCCAUUGGUCAUUUCUGGGGAAGGCAGGAGCUUCCUCCAAUCCCCACAUGGUGUAUGGGAGUUCUCUGUGAGCGGGCUUUCGGGGGUGUUAAGCAAACCCAGCAUCCCAGCUCCCCUUCCUAAGGCAAGAGUUUAUAUAGUCAGGUUGCCAGUUAGGGCCAGAAACAGGUUUUGAGAAUUUCAUUCCUAAAGAACAUUCAGGGAGUUGAACCUAGUCCUCCCCAAAGGGGGUUGGGAUUUCCCUCUUGAUACCCUAUGGUCUGUCCUCUCAAGAGAAGCUGCAUGGUAACUCUAGGUUUAAUGUUAGGAAGACCAAGGUUGUGACAGGAAGAAACAGUCCCGCUGCUAAAUCUGAAAUUCAGCAGCAACAACAAAAAAGUCCAAGAUAGAAGAAUCAGUGGCUUCAGAGACUUCUACACUCAGUACAGUAUACCACAAUGGCUCUCUUAGGGGAGCUGGGAAGGUGGGUGACAGGAAAAAAAGAUAAGAGAAAUGUUAUCAGACUCUGUGCUGAAAGCAGAAGGAGAGAGUCUAUGCAAGUGCAGACCCUAAUCGGAGGGAGUAUCCCUGCUUUCCAGGACACUGAAAGCCUUGCAGCUCCAGCUAAGAACGGCAAAGACACUUCUAAAGUGGUUUUAAUGGGGGCUGCUGGGCACUGAAGAAAGCAUCUGUUACUUCUCAGAUAGACCUGCUCACACAUUUUAGGAGCAAACAGUUCCAGGUAAUAGACAGACUUCUGUGGUGCUGCCAUUAC
RNAcentral lists this long non-coding RNA (1488 nucleotides) under Cricetulus griseus (Chinese hamster). RNAcentral describes it as "lncRNA (ENSCGRG00015031811.1)". The record is from RNAcentral. Lineage: Eukaryota; Metazoa; Chordata; Mammalia; Rodentia; Cricetidae.